UCCCGAUUUCUUCCCCCUUCAUGCGCGCGAGCUCUCUUCGUCCCGAGCCUCACCAGCGCCGGCGAUUCUCCUCUCCUCUUCUCUCAGCGUCGCCGGCGCAGGGCAACCCUUGAGUGUUAAGGAGGGAAGUGGCAACCGAUCUUCCUCUCUUCUUCCUUCCUUUCUCGCGCUGAUGAACCCGACACCGACGGAGAGAUUCUCCCCCGACAAACCUAUUCUCACCAAGUCGCCUGAGGGAGAGCGCCGGAUCUCAACGGUAUCAUCCAUCUCUGGAGGACCGACCACCUUCUCGGCCUCUCGGCCAUUCCUUACGCGCGAUCGGCGGUGAUCAAGUGGCUAGGGCACGACAAGGCUAGAGCCCGACGAGGGAGGGGAGAUUCGAGCCCUAGUUGCCUCUUGUGGAUGUCCAGUGCCUUCUCGUCAUCGGAUCUUGGAUCAGGGAGGUCCACUUCACUGGAUUCCAGUUCCUCCUUCUCAUUGGUGUUGAUUGGAUGCUGAUCCUAGAGUGGAUGGACUGCCAAAGCAUAAUUUAGGAGGCAUCAGAUCAGCUUCUUGGUGGAUUCUUCGUGAGCAUAUCACUGCCCCUUCACUUCUUGCAGCUGUUGAGGUCUCGGUGGGAGGAUUAGGGAUCAAUGGAGUGGAGGCUCUUGGUGGCUGUUGGCAAGGGAUUAUGGUGCUGUGAGCUGUUGAAUAUGCUGCCAAACCUCAAGG
Zingiber officinale is the source of this 711-nucleotide long non-coding RNA. RefSeq lists it as uncharacterized. The record is from RefSeq and is a predicted model, not a curated record. The transcript is spliced from 3 exons. NCBI's taxonomy places the organism in Eukaryota, Viridiplantae, Streptophyta, Magnoliopsida, Zingiberales, Zingiberaceae.